Long non-coding RNA from Pocillopora verrucosa, 2215 nucleotides. RefSeq lists it as uncharacterized. The record is from RefSeq and is a predicted model, not a curated record. NCBI's taxonomy places the organism in Eukaryota, Metazoa, Cnidaria, Anthozoa, Scleractinia, Pocilloporidae.
UAUGCGCAGAGUAGACCCUCUCUAGUGUUUACUUCUCUCCUUAACACUCUAAAGACUUUACUGUUGAAUAUCUUAUCAAAACACGAAGUCUCUGGUAGUUUGACACAUAAACCGGGAAGACUGCGAGGAAGUUGAAGAUUCUACCGUUUUAUUUUUUCCUUUUCGUCGACUAAGUGGUAGAAAUUCUAAUUUUUCGUACUGUUUUGUCGUUCGUUGCGCGUGGUGAAAUAUAUUGACUGAUGUAAUGUACUCAGAGCAGUUCGAAAGUACAGCAAGCUCACAAUUCACGAGGCAAAGGUGUAACAUGUACAGACAUGUGGGACAUGGAAAGAUGAGUAGUUAGAGGCUGAAAGACAUUUGUAAGAUUUUGUAGACACAACUUGCAUUCUCUUGGUAGAUCAUAAAUUGGUAGCUCCUCCCCAUAGUUCCACACCUUUAGUGCCCCUAGCUGCAUGAAUCUUGGAACUUGUCCAUCAGGUGUACUGGUAACUUCCUCAAUUACUGUUGGGUUGAAUGACCUCUGUCCCUCCAGUGCAGAUGUUCCCUUGGCGGAAGCCUUCCAGUGAAGUUUAAGUUUGCGACUAUCUGCUUUUAGUGACUUAAUCAUUUCUGAUCUGACUGGAAUUUCAAGAAGCUUUAAAACCAAAAUGCCAGAAAGGACUUUGGUAUCUCUGAUCAGCUCCCAUUCCAAACAACUUAGGAAAAGUUAACCACUCUGCUCCAUGAUCUUUGAUUACUUUAAUUGCUUCUUGUAACAUUGGCCUCUGCACUUGUUUGUGAAAAAGGUUAAUAGCUGCUGGGUCCUUCAGUGACAUCUUCACCUGUUGUGAUGUUAAAGGAAAAUGUUCUGUAGGAGACAUCAGCGUUUUGCUUAAAGUUUCAUGGUGCUUUAGAACUGUUGCUGGCCAUAACCUUGCUAGGUAACCACUGGAGAAUCCAAGUUCUGCAUCACUAGCCUGGGAUGUAUUCAGAGAUGAGAUGAUAAACUUAUCGAGGAAUUCAAACAAAAACUUGAUUUCAACUUGAAUCAUAGGACUGGAGCUCAGCUUAAUGACAUCUUGCCAAAUAGUCUGGGGGCUAUCUGAUUUUGGCAAUCUUUCAAGGAGACUCUCAGCGAGCUGUAAACAAGCUUUUCCAUACUUAAGAUACCACUGGAGAGUUUCAUGACAAUAUGUCCACCUUGUGUCAAUGAAUGUCUGGGGAAGGGGUGGCUCUUUACUUAGAAUACCAAGAGAGACAUACAUAACUUUGUAUUGGCUUGGACACUCAUGAUGGAGCCAAGAUAUUUUAUAGAGUAAUUGUAAAACAUGGGGGUUGCUCAUGUCACCCUUGGCCCCAAACUCGGCCUGGCACAUUCUUCUCAGCAUAAUGUUUAGUACAUGUGGGAACCAUCCUAAAAAAAUAUCUCUUUUUCAAAAAUUCUGGCAUUGUUAGCUAAAAGACCGUUUACUUUUCCCUUUUGGGUAGAGGCAUUGUUCCCAACCAACCUCGAAACAUUGGUAAUAUCAUAUUCAUUUUUUAUAACAUGGUAAUCUACAUCAGACUGGUGUUUUUCAGACCCACUUGCAGUUAGGCUGUUUCCAAGGACAUAACCUCGUGGCUUGCUCUCUAUGGGACACCAGGUGUGAACACCCACUACGUGCCUCUCCUCUCCUCCUUUGAAGGAGUCAUCGCUCCAGAGAUGAAAAUCGUACUCGGAAUAUGAAUAACUAACGAGAAAGAUUUUUGUAUAUUCAAAAUAAAUAAAUUUAAAACCCACGAUAUAUUAUAAACACCGAUUGUUUUCAAGAAAAUAGCGAAAAGCGCAGUGAAGCAUCGUUAUUAUUCAACUCUAAUUUAAAUUAAUGGAAUUUUGUAUUGUCUCAGUAAAGCAUGCAAGUAGGUGAACAUAGCAAUCAAAUUUCUGGAAGAGUUUUAGCCUCCAGUGAUCUAUCGAUAGCUUUCCACUCUAGCAUUGUAGCAAACAGACGAGCCAUGUUAUAGUUGGCUAUGUCAUAGGAUGUCACGCGUGAAUUUGAUAUUGUUAUUGUGGCGUUAUGUAAUGUGUCAUGUUAGGUCGAGUGUGUGACAUCAUGACGUCAACAAAAUCACAUAAUAUGCGAGAAAAAACCUCCGAAAUAUGGUAUCCUUGGCAAUGUACUUUUACAGUGGAUCGAUAUUGUAUGAUUGUAGGUGUUUAGAGUCGGUCUUAUUAUUUACUGGUUCCAGCACAAUA